Long non-coding RNA from Mauremys reevesii (Reeves's turtle), 759 nucleotides. RefSeq lists it as uncharacterized. The transcript is spliced from 3 exons. The record is from RefSeq and is a predicted model, not a curated record. Lineage: Eukaryota; Metazoa; Chordata; Testudines; Geoemydidae.
GGGCUGAGCCGCUGCUGCUCCCCAGCGGGGUGGGUGCGGGGAGAGCCCUUCCCUAGCGCCGCUCUGCGCCCAGCCGGGGGGACUCUCUGCGGGGGCAGCCCCGGGCUCUGCCGCCACCAGCCCCUGAGCCGGAGCCUGCAGAUCAUCCCAUCCCCUUGAGAGACGGGGAAGGGAAAUGGCUGCAGCGGAGCUGGUGACCUUCAAGGAGGUGGCUGUGUAUUUCACUGAGGAGGAAUGGGCUCUGCUGGACCCAGGUCAGAGAUCCCUCUACAGGGACGUCAUGUGGGAGAAUUAGGAGACUGUGACCUCACUGGAUGGAAGCUCCCUUUGUACCAAAGUGCAAAGACCCUGGCGACACGAGUAACUUUGACAACUAUGAGGAGGAGGAGAUCCGGGUCUCAACCACUGAGGAGUACGCCAUGGAGUUUUCUGAGUUCUAGGACCAGCGGCCCCCCCAAGAAGGGUGCAUGCGGAGCGGGGGGGAGUUGGAUUUUGGUUUCAUAGAUAAAUUAAAUCUAUAUAGCCCUGUGGCUAGGUCUCCCCCCCAAAUCCCCCCUUUCCACAAAGAAGCUUGAGAGUCCCAUCUAGAGGGUGAGGAUAUCAUCCACCCCGCCCUGGGAAACACGUCUGUGUCCUCCAACAACACUUGUUUCACUGGAAAAAAACAAAAGAACCCCCCACCCCCACUUCCUACUUAACAGUGUGCUUUGUUGUUAACAUGUUUGAAACAAUUACCAAUAAAGUUUAAAAAAAAAAUCA